Molecule: ribosomal RNA, 253 nt
Filed under: uncultured bacterium
Lineage: Bacteria
Description: partial 16S ribosomal RNA
Rfam family: Bacterial small subunit ribosomal RNA
Source: RNAcentral
UACGGAGGGUGCAAGCGUUAUCCGGAAUCAUUGGGUUUAAAGGGUCCGCAGGCGGACGUAUAAGUCAGUGGUGAAAGCCUACAGCUCAACUGUAGAACUGCCAUUGAUACUGUACAUCUUGAAUUCGGUCGAAGUGGGCGGAAUAUGACAUGUAGCGGUGAAAUGCUUAGAUAUGUCAUAGAACACCGAUAGCGAAGGCAGCUCACUAGGCCUGGAUUGACGCUCAUGGACGAAAGCGUGGGGAGCAAACAGG